Molecule: ribosomal RNA, 254 nt
Filed under: uncultured bacterium
Lineage: Bacteria
Description: partial 16S ribosomal RNA
Rfam family: Bacterial small subunit ribosomal RNA
Source: RNAcentral
UACGAAGGGGGCUAGCGUUGCUCGGAAUCACUGGGCGUAAAGGGCGCGUAGGCGGCCACCGCAAGUCGAUUGUGAAAUCUCCGGGCUUAACCCGGAAAGGUCAACCGAUACUGCGGGGCUAGGGUGCGGAAGGGGCAACUGGAAUUCUCGGUGUAGCGGUGAAAUGCGUAGAUAUCGAGAGGAACACCUGCGGCGAAGGCGGGUAGCUGGGCCGACACUGACGCUGAGGCGCGAAAGCCAGGGGAGCGAACGGG